CGGGAGGCAGCAGUAGGGAAUCUUCCGCAAUGGGCGAAAGCCUGACGGAGCAACGCCGCGUGAGUGAUGAAGGUCUUCGGAUCGUAAAACUCUGUUAUUAGGGAAGAACAAAUGUGUAAGUAACUAUGCACGUCUUGACGGUACCUAAUCAGAAAGCCACGGCUAACUACGUGCCAGCAGCCGCGGUAAUACGUAGGUGGCAAGCGUUAUCCGGAAUUAUUGGGCGUAAAGCGCGCGUAGGCGGUUUCUUAAGUCUGAUGUGAAAGCCCACGGCUCAACCGUGGAGGGUCAUUGGAAACUGGGAAACUUGAGUGCAGAAGAGGAAAGUGGAAUUCCAUGUGUAGCGGUGAAAUGCGCAGAGAUAUGGAGGAACACCAGUGGCGAAGGCGACUUUCUGGUCUGUAACUGACGCUGAUGUGCGAAAGCGUGGGGAUCAAACAGGAUUAGAUACCCUGGUAGUCCACGCCGUAAACGAUGAGUGCUAAGUGUUAGGGGGUUUCCGCCCCUUAGUGCUGCAGCUAACGCAUUAAGCACUCCGCC
RNAcentral lists this ribosomal RNA (540 nucleotides) under Mesorhizobium sp. M00.F.Ca.ET.217.01.1.1. RNAcentral describes it as "bacterial SSU rRNA". It matches the Rfam family "Bacterial small subunit ribosomal RNA", at positions 342 to 873 of the family's 1533-position model. The record is from RNAcentral. Lineage: Bacteria; Pseudomonadati; Pseudomonadota; Alphaproteobacteria; Hyphomicrobiales; Phyllobacteriaceae.